AGCAGCCGCGGUAAUUCCAGCUCCAAUAGCGUGUAUUAAAGUUGCUGCAGUUAAAAAGCUCGUAGUUGAAUUUCGGGACCAUCAUGUCGGUCGUGCCUCGGUACGUACUGGCAUUGUUGGUUUCUCUCUUCUGACGAACCAUGAUGUCAUUAAUUUGGUGUCAUGGGGAAUCAGGACUGUUACUUUGAAAAAAUUAGAGUGUUUAAAGCAGGCUCACGCUUGAAUACAUUAGCAUGGAAUAAUGAAAUAGGACGUUUGAUUCUAUUUUGUUGGUUUCUAGGAUCGACGUAAUGAUUAAUAGGGAUAGUUGGGGGCAUUAGUAUUCAAUUGUCAGAGGUGAAAUUCUUGGAUUUAUUGAAGACUAACUACUGCGAAGGCAUUUGCCAAGGAUGUUUUCAUUAAUCAAGAACGAAAGUUAGGGGAUCGAAGACGAUCAGAUACCGUCGUAGU
Molecule: ribosomal RNA, 450 nt
Filed under: uncultured Glomeromycotina
Lineage: Eukaryota; Fungi; Glomeromycota
Description: SSU rRNA
Rfam family: Eukaryotic small subunit ribosomal RNA
Source: RNAcentral